AGUGAACGCUGGCGGUAGGCCUAACACAUGCAAGUCGAACGGCAGCACAGUAAGAGCUUGCUCUUACGGGUGGCGAGUGGCGGACGGGUGAGGAAUACAUCGGCAUCUACUUUUUCGUGGGGGAUAACGUAGGGAAACUUACGCUAAUACCGCAUACGACCUACGGGUGAAAGCAGGGGAUCUUCGGACCUUGCGCGAUUGAAUGAGCCGAUGUCGGAUUAGCUAGUUGGCGGGGUAAAGGCCCACCAAGGCGACGAUCCGUAGCUGGUCUGAGAGGAUGAUCAGCCACACUGGAACUGAGACACGGUCCAGACUCCUACGGGAGGCAGCAGUGGGGAAUAUUGGACAAGGGGCGCAAGCCUGAUCCAGCCAUACCGCGUGGGUGAAGAAGGCCUUCGGGUUGUAAAGCCCUUUUGUUGGGAAAGAAAAGCAGCAGGUUAAUACCCCGCUGUUCUGACGGUACCCAAAGAAUAAGCACCGGCUAACUUCGUG
This 492-nucleotide ribosomal RNA is filed under the name uncultured bacterium. RNAcentral's name for it is "partial 16S ribosomal RNA". It matches the Rfam family "Bacterial small subunit ribosomal RNA", at positions 29 to 507 of the family's 1533-position model. The record is from RNAcentral.